CGGCCCUUAGUUCAACUGGAUAGAACGUCUGCCUCCUAAGCGGAAAAUAGGGGUUCGAGUCCCUUAGGGCCGGCCA
This 76-nucleotide transfer RNA is filed under the name Marinibium conchae. RNAcentral describes it as "Glaciecola sp. MH2013 tRNA-Arg". It matches the Rfam family "tRNA". Rfam says of the family: Transfer RNA (tRNA) molecules are approximately 80 nucleotides in length. Their secondary structure includes four short double-helical elements and three loops (D, anti-codon, and T loops). Lineage: Bacteria; Pseudomonadati; Pseudomonadota; Gammaproteobacteria; Alteromonadales; Alteromonadaceae. The record is from RNAcentral.